ACGGCUCAGUAACACGUGGUCAACAUACCCAGAGGACGUGGAUAACCUCGGGAAACUGAGGAUAAACCGCGAUAGACCAUAAUGUCUGGAAUGAUUUAUGGUUCAAAUCUAUAUGGCCUCUGGAUUGGACUGCGGCCGAUCAGGCUGUUGGUGAGGUAAUGGCCCACCAAACCUGAAACCGGUACGGGCUCUGAGAGGAGAAGCCCGGAGAUGGGCACUGAGACAAGGGCCCAGGCCCUAUGGGGCGCAGCAGGCGCGAAACCUUUGCAAUAGGCGAAAGCCUGACAAGGUUACUCUGAGUGAUCUCCGCUAAGGAAAUCUUUUGACACCUCUAAAAAUGGUGUAGAAUAAGGGGUGGGCAAGCCUGGUGUCAGCCGCCGCGGUAAUACCAGCACCCCGAGUGGUCGGGACGAUUAUUGGGCCUAAAGCAUCCGUAGCCGGUUCUUUAAGUCCUCCGUUAAAUCCACCUGCUUAACAGAUGGGCUGCGGAGGAUACUAUAGAGCUAGGAGGCGGGAGAGGCAAGCGGUACUCAGUGGGUAGGGGUAAAAUCCGUUGAUCCAUUGAAGACCACCAGUGGCGAAGGCGGCUUGCCAGAACGCGCUCGACGGUGAGGGAUGAAAGCUGGGGGAGCAAACCGGAUUAGAUACCCGGGUAGUCCCAGCUGUAAACGAUGCAGACUCGGUGAUGAACAGGCUUCGUGCCUGUUCAGUGCCGCAGGGAAGCCGUUAAGUCUGCCGCCUGGGGAGUACGGUCGCAAGACUGAAACUUAAGGGAAUUGGCGGGGGAG
RNAcentral lists this ribosomal RNA (788 nucleotides) under uncultured archaeon. RNAcentral describes it as "bacterial SSU rRNA". It matches the Rfam family "Archaeal small subunit ribosomal RNA", at positions 85 to 876 of the family's 1478-position model. The record is from RNAcentral.